RNAcentral lists this long non-coding RNA (254 nucleotides) under Mytilus galloprovincialis (Mediterranean mussel). Lineage: Eukaryota; Metazoa; Mollusca; Bivalvia; Mytilida; Mytilidae. The record is from RNAcentral.
AAAAAAAAAAUUUUAAUUUUUUAAAAAUUUUUUUAAUGUUUUUUUUAAGUUUUAUAUAAUUUUUUUUCGUUCCUUAAGUGAAAGUUAGUUCUUCGAAAAUAAAUGUGCUUGGUAGAACAACUUUCAAGUCUGCUAAGUUCUAUAAUAAGAUCAACAUUUAAAAAAAUACCACCCCUCCCCGCUUAGCUGUAAGACAGAAUUUACAUAUUAUAAGAAUAUUGUAUAUUAAUUAUUGAAGAAAAAUCCAAAAUUUC